ACUCAAAUGAAUUGACGGGGGCCCGCACAAGCGGUGGAGCAUGUGGAUUAAUACGUCACUAACCGUAGAACCUUACCCAGGCUUGACAUCUAGGGAAUCCCCCUGAAAGGGGGGAGUGCUCGCAAGAGAGCCCUAAGACAGGUGUUGCAUGGCUGUCGUCAGCUCGUGUCGUGAGAUGUUGGGUUAAGUCCCGCAACGAGCGCAACCCUCACCGUCUGUUGCCAGCAUUCAGUUGGGCACUCUGACGGAACUGCCCGGGUAACCGGGAGGAAGGUGGGGACGACGUCAAGUCAGCAUGGCCCUUACGCCUGGGGCUUCACACAUGCUACAAUGGCCGGUACAGAGGGUCCCGAGACCGCGAGGUGGAGGUAAUCCCAAAAAGCCGGCCUCAGUUCGGAUCGCAGGCUGCAACUCGCCUGCGUGAAGUUGGAAUCGCUAGUAACCGCCGGUCAGCUAAACGGCAGUGAAUACGUUCCCGGGCCUUGUACACACCGCCCGU
Molecule: ribosomal RNA, 499 nt
Filed under: uncultured bacterium
Lineage: Bacteria
Description: partial 16S ribosomal RNA
Rfam family: Bacterial small subunit ribosomal RNA
Source: RNAcentral